UACAGAGGUGGCAAGCGUUGUUCGGAAUUACUGGGCGUAAAGGGCGCGUAGGCGGCCUUCUAAGUCAGACGUGAAAUCCCCCUGCUUAACCUGGGAACUGCGUCUGAUACUGGGAGGCUUGAGUAUGGGAGAGGGAUGUAGAAUUCCAGGUGCAGCGGUGAAAUGCGUAGAUAUCUGGAGGAAUACCGGUGGCGAAGGCGGCAUCCUGGACCAUAACUGACGCUGAGGCGCGAAAGCUAGGGGAGCAAACGGG
RNAcentral lists this ribosomal RNA (253 nucleotides) under uncultured bacterium. RNAcentral describes it as "partial 16S ribosomal RNA". It matches the Rfam family "Bacterial small subunit ribosomal RNA", at positions 524 to 776 of the family's 1533-position model. The record is from RNAcentral.